UUUAACACGAAGUGAGUGGCGGACGGGUGAGUAACACGUGGGUAACCUGCCCAGAAGCAGGGGAUAACACCUGGAAACAGAUGCUAAUACCGUAUAACAGAGAAAACCGCCUGGUUUUCUUUUAAAAGAUGGCUCUGCUAUCACUUCUGGAUGGACCCGCGGCGCAUUAGCUAGUUGGUGAGGUAACGGCUCACCAAGGCGAUGAUGCGUAGCCGACCUGAGAGGGUAAUCGGCCACAUUGGGACUGAGACACGGCCCAGACUCCUACGGGAGGCAGCAGUAGGGAAUCUUCCACAAUGGACCAA
Molecule: ribosomal RNA, 305 nt
Filed under: Pediococcus acidilactici
Lineage: Bacteria; Bacillati; Bacillota; Bacilli; Lactobacillales; Lactobacillaceae
Description: bacterial SSU rRNA
Rfam family: Bacterial small subunit ribosomal RNA
Source: RNAcentral